RNAcentral lists this ribosomal RNA (452 nucleotides) under uncultured bacterium. RNAcentral's name for it is "partial 16S ribosomal RNA". It matches the Rfam family "Bacterial small subunit ribosomal RNA", at positions 35 to 507 of the family's 1533-position model. The record is from RNAcentral.
GGGGGGGGGGGGGGGGGGGGCUGGCGGGGGGAGGUCGGGGGGUUGGGGGCGGUAGAGAGGGGGGGGCGGGGGGGGAACGGGGGGGGAGGCUGCCCAGGACACACGUAUAGCAUACCGAAAGGUAUGCUAAUACAGGGUAAUAUGCCUGUAUCGCCUGGUAGAAGUAUCAACGCUUUUGCGGUACAAGAUGGACCCGCGUCUGCUUAGCUAGUUGGUGAGGUAACGGCUCACCAAGGCGACGAACAGUAGCCGAACUGAGAGGGUGAUCGGCCACAUUGGAACUGAGACACGGUCCAAACUCCUACGGGAGGCAGCAGUGGGGAAUAUUGCACAAUGGGCGAAAGCCUGAUGCAGCAACGCCGCGUGAGCGAUGAAGGCCUUCGGGUCGUAAAGCUCUGUCCUCAAGGAAGAUAAUGACGGUACUUGAGGAGGAAGCCCCGGCUAACUACGUG